This 135-nucleotide unclassified non-coding RNA is filed under the name uncultured Agaricostilbomycetes. RNAcentral's name for it is "sequence contains ITS1". Lineage: Eukaryota; Fungi; Basidiomycota. The record is from RNAcentral.
GUGAACAAUGGGAGUCCCUCUUAACCAGAGAAGGCCCAGUCCACUAUUCACAAACACUCGUGCAACCGUCCCUUUUUACCUUUAACCCUUUUGCAUUUGAACAAGUCGUUGGGUUUAAACAAUGAUAAGAAAGAA